Molecule: ribosomal RNA, 240 nt
Filed under: uncultured bacterium
Lineage: Bacteria
Description: partial 16S ribosomal RNA
Rfam family: Bacterial small subunit ribosomal RNA
Source: RNAcentral
CGUAAAGCGCAUGCAGGUGGUUUGUUAAGUCAGAUGUGAAAGCCCCGGGCUCAACCUGGGAAUUGCAUUUGUAAACUGGCAAACUAGAGUACUGUAGAGGGGGGUAGGAAUUUCAGGUGUAGCGGUGAAAUGCGUAGAGAUCUGAAGGAAUACCGGUGGCGAAGGCGGCCCCCCUCGGACAGAUACUGACACUCAGAUGCGAAAGCGUGGGGAGCAAACAGGAUUAGAUACCCCUGGUAG